GCGAGUCUGGCCGAGUGGUUAAGGCGUUGUGUUUAGGCCGCAAUGGGCAUUGCCCGCGUAGGUUCGAUCCCUACGGCUCGCA
This is a non-coding RNA of Metarhizium acridum CQMa 102, 82 nucleotides long. The record is from the annotation of a RefSeq genome assembly. Lineage: Eukaryota; Fungi; Ascomycota; Sordariomycetes; Hypocreales; Clavicipitaceae.